CAGUCUCUUUUCUACUUAUGAUAUAGUCAAAUAUAUCAACUCUAUUCCUGAUGCAAAACUGGCUGUUUUUCCAAACUUUCCCAUUGAUAUUCUAAGUACUGUCUACCACAUCAUUUAUAAAGGAAGGCAUGUGCAAAUUUCAUAUGUUUAUAUUGUUUUCAUCUGUUUGAACUAUAAAACUUUUUUCAGCCCAUUAUUAUACAUGUAGUAUGUUGUUAUGUUGUACUGUUACACCACUGUCCCGGGUUAGGGAGAGAUUUCGGUACCAGUUUAUAAGUUACAUCUGCCACCUUCUGUGUGUCCCAAAUCGGGG
RNAcentral lists this long non-coding RNA (313 nucleotides) under Mytilus galloprovincialis (Mediterranean mussel). Lineage: Eukaryota; Metazoa; Mollusca; Bivalvia; Mytilida; Mytilidae. The record is from RNAcentral.